Molecule: long non-coding RNA, 210 nt
Filed under: Panax ginseng (ginseng)
Lineage: Eukaryota; Viridiplantae; Streptophyta; Magnoliopsida; Apiales; Araliaceae
Description: long non-coding RNA (PGIN_LNC014716)
Source: RNAcentral
CAGAAAAGAAAUAAAUUUUUCGGUGAAUAGUACCCCGUGAAUAGUACUUCGGGAAUAGUACCCUAUGAAUACUAACCCGACAUGAAAAGUGCCCCAAAUACCCGAAUAAGCAAUAUUUGAGUGAAUAGUAAUCGGGUGAAUAGUAACUCAUGAAUAGUACCCCCGACAUGAAAAGUGCCCCGAAUACCCGAGUGAAUAAUAUUAUAGUGA